Molecule: microRNA precursor, 136 nt
Filed under: Brassica napus (rape)
Lineage: Eukaryota; Viridiplantae; Streptophyta; Magnoliopsida; Brassicales; Brassicaceae
Description: miR2111c stem-loop (bna-MIR2111c)
Source: miRBase by way of RNAcentral
UAUUGGUGAGGACCGGGUAAUCUGCAUCCUGGGGUUUACGGUUUAAGAACACACAAAGUGUGCGUAUGCAUAUGUAUAUGUGUGUUAGUAAAGCUUUUAGACCUCAGGAUGCGGAUUACCUCUUCCUUACAAUACG